RNAcentral lists this ribosomal RNA (1392 nucleotides) under uncultured bacterium. RNAcentral's name for it is "bacterial SSU rRNA". It matches the Rfam family "Bacterial small subunit ribosomal RNA". The record is from RNAcentral.
AGAGUUUGAUUAUGGCUCAGGAUGAACGCUAGCGGCAGGCUUAACACAUGCAAGUCGAGGGGCAGCAUAAAGUAGCAAUACUUGGUGGCGACCGGCGUACGGGUGCGUAACGCGUAUGCAACCUACCUAUAACAGGAGGAUAAUCUGGGGAAACCUGGUCUAAUAUUCCAUAGCAUUAUAGAAUCGCAUGAUUUUAUAAUUAAAGUUGCGAGAUGGUUAUAGAUGGGCAUGCGUAUCAUUAGGUAGUUGGAGAGGUAAUGGCUCCCCAAGCCGACGAUGAUUAGGGGUUCUGAGAGGAAGAUCCCCCACACUGGAACUGAGACACGGUCCAGACUCCUACGGGAGGCAGCAGUGAGGAAUAUUGGUCAAUGGACGGAAGUCUGAACCAGCCAUGCCGCGUGCAGGAAGACGGCCUUAUGGGUUGUAAACUGCUUUUGUGCGAGAGCAAUAAGGGUUACGAGUAAUCCGAUGAGAGUAUCGUACGAAUAAGCAUCGGCUAACUCCGUGCCAGCAGCCGCGGUAAUACGGAGGAUGCAAGCGUUAUCCGGAUUCAUUGGGUUUAAAGGGUGCGUAGGCGGACUAAUAAGUCAGUGGUGAAAUAUUGCAGCUUAACUGUAAUCGUGCCAUAGAUACUGUUAGUCUAGAGUGCAAAUGGAGUAGGCGGAAUAUGUCAUGUAGCGGUGAAAUGCAUAGAUAUGACAUAGAACACCGAUCGCGAAGGCAGCUUACUAAGAUGCAACUGACGCUGAUGCACGAAAGCGUGGGGAUCAAACAGGAUUAGAUACCCUGGUAGUCCACGCUGUAAACGAUGAUAACUCGUUGUCGGCGAUACACAGUCGGUGACUGAGCGAAAGCGAUAAGUUAUCCACCUGGGGAGUACGAUCGCAAGGUUGAAACUCAAAGGAAUUGACGGGGGCCCGCACAAGCGGAGGAGCAUGUGGUUUAAUUCGAUGAUACGCGAGGAACCUUACCUAGACUUGAACGAAGAAGUGAUAUAACAGAAAUGUGAUAGCCAGCAAUGGACUUUUUCGAGGUGCUGCAUGGUUGUCGUCAGCUCGUGCCGUGAGGUGUCAGGUUAAGUCCUAUAACGAGCGCAACCCUUACACUUAGUUGCCAGCAUUUAAGGUGGGGACUCUAAGUGGACUGCCGGCGCAAGCCGCGAGGAAGGUGGGGAUGACGUCAAAUCAGCACGGCCCUUACGUCUAGGGCGACACACGUGCUACAAUGGCCGAUACAGAGGGCAGCUACUUGGUGACAAGAUGCGAAUCUCGAAAGUCGGUCUCAGUUCGGAUUGGAGUCUGCAACUCGACUCCAUGAAGUUGGAUUCGCUAGUAAUCGCGCAUCAGCCAUGGCGCGGUGAAUACGUUCCCGGGCCUUGUACACACCGCCCGU